AACGGCCAUACCAGGUUGAAUAUACCGGUUCUCGUUAGAUCACCGAAGUCAAGCAUCAUUGGGCGCGGUCAGUACUUGGGUGGGUGACCACCUGGGAACACUGCGUGCCGUU
This 112-nucleotide ribosomal RNA is filed under the name Caerostris extrusa. The record is from RNAcentral. Lineage: Eukaryota; Metazoa; Arthropoda; Arachnida; Araneae; Araneidae.